CAGCCACCCCGGCCCUCCGGUUGAGGCCCCAGCGGGAAUGCUGGGAGCGGGACUUAGCGGAGACCGAGGCUGGACGUCCAUCACCCAGGGGGCGGUGGAAGCCCUGAACAGCCGUUAUUGUCCUACCCCGAGAGGUGGGAUCCGCGCUCCCUCUCCUCCUCCACUCCCCGCUACCCUCCCCCUACUCCGCACAUCUCUGCGCCGCCCCGGCCUUUCCAAGCCUUCUGCCGCGGGGACUCUCGGACUGGGCGGGACCCGCCCCCCAACUCACCCCCCUGGUUAACCCGCUGGGACCCCGGGACCUCCAGAGGGGCCAGGCCUCCCGCAGUCAGGCCCACCCUUGUUUUCUAGCGGGAGGGGAGAGCGCGCGCGAGAGGGGUCUGAGCCCGGCCUGCCCCGCCUUCGCCUCGCACCUAUCAAGGAGUCUGCCCCCUCCCGCCCCCGGCCCCGCCCUCUCAGAACUCCGGGCCGCAGAGCUAGAGAGAGCCGGUCCCGCCCCCUCCCCGCCCCUCCCACCUCCGCCCCGCCCCUCCCGCCCCCGGCCCCUCCCUCUCAGAACUCCGGGCCGCAAAGAGCUAGGGAAGAGCCGGCCCCGCCCUCGCCUCGCCCCGCCCCUAGCGGAGAGCAGGCUCCGGAGCCCCGGGGUCGCCCGUGGAGGGACUCCAGCCGUGGGACCCGAGGAGGGGUUGCCAAGGGCCGGAGGCGAAGCCUGGCGUCGCUGGGAGCCAGGGAGGCUCGGAAGGAAAAGUCUCAGGAGAGUAAAAGGUUUCCAAGAUUCCGCCAAGACUUAAACUAGCCCCCCCUCCCCUCUCAUUAGUAGGCAAACGUGCUCCCUCCCUAAUAAAGGUAAAGGACGUGCGGACUAUAGAACGGUUCAGAGCAAACCUUUACGAUCUGCCGCCAACAAGCGUGAUUCGUGCACCUACCUAUGGAUCCUCCUCUGCCCGGGGCGCGUCCGGAGACGCUCCCCGCCCGCAGGGCCCGGCUCCCUCCGGCCCCUCCCCCCCUCCUUUAUAGGGACGCGCAGCCUCGGGGGGGGGGCGGGGGUCCGAGGGCGGGCCGGGAGCUGGCCCUCGGGCACGGCGGCUCGGGACCGCGCUAACGGCGCGCCCCCGGAGACAGGGCGGGCGGCAGCGUCCGGUGGGCGGGGCUCCCCCCGGUAAUCAAGCUUCUGGGGAAGCGGCUCCGUCCCGCUCUCCCGGGCGGUGGGGAAGAGCUUUAAGGGCGCUAAGGGGGGGCUCUGACGUCACGUUCCAGGAACGGGGUCUGGCGGGUCCCCCGGACCCUGUUGUGGCUCCUCCCGACCCCGGCACCGCUCCCGGGGGGAAAUGAGUGGAACGGAGCUCGCGGAACCUUCCUCUUGGUCGAAGCUUCCACAGGCACUUUCUUCUUAGUUGCAGGAACUAUUCCCUGGGGUGAAGCCUCUGCAGACACCCUCUUGUUGGUCAAAGCCUCGGAGGAAUCUCCUUUCUGGUGAAGAAGGAUGUGGAGAGAGGCGGAGAUGUAGAAAGAGAGACACAGAGACAUACAUACACCUGCUCUGCUUCCUGCUAAGCCCUGCUGAGAACCUUAACAUCGGUCAUCUCCAUGUGUAUCUGAGGAAGGUUGGUAUGUAUGGCCCUGGCAAUCAGUAGCCUUGGUGGAAGAUUACAAAUGAGACUGUGAAUUCUUUCACAAAACCUGCCACACCGGCCUGGGGACCCCCAAACACAGUGAGGAUGUCUCUUCCAUCAACACAAAUACUAUGUUCCAAUGCACAUUUAGUCUCCAUUGUUCUUUCUCUUGAUGUAAAUGGUUCUUUACAUCCCAAGUCUAUUGGAAUUAUCUUGGA
Sarcophilus harrisii (Tasmanian devil) is the source of this 1831-nucleotide long non-coding RNA. RefSeq lists it as uncharacterized. The transcript is spliced from 3 exons. The record is from RefSeq and is a predicted model, not a curated record. Lineage: Eukaryota; Metazoa; Chordata; Mammalia; Dasyuromorphia; Dasyuridae.